AACAGAGCCAACUCUUAAUAAUUUGAGGACCAGAUCACAGCCUGAUUGUCCCCAUCUGGGCUGGUUGCCCCAACUCAAUUCCUGUCACAUUUAAAUGACAUUCUGCUCAGUUAGCUCUUACAGGCAAAAUUUUGAUCUCUCAGAGACAAGAGAUUCAAGAGGUCCCCCAUUCCUUUUUCCACCUCCAUGAAGGGUGUUGCCUAAACUACCCCUGAGAAAUGAUUAGAUUCUGUGCUUAACCAUCAUCAAGGAACAUUUCAUAAAUUUCUCCAGGCAUUCCACCUUCUUUGGGCCAGGCACGACUUCAUACCACCUUCAGAAAUUGAAGUUUAACAGGAAUUCUCCAUGAAACGCAUCAGGAAGCUGCUCAGGAAUGGCCCAGAAGGAAGGAGCCCAGAGCAACAGAACCCUGUAUGGAGGAGAGGCUUCAGCAGUGCUGGUGGUGAAUGGUUGUGACCUGGAGUGAGAAGAUCCAUAGAGGUGGGUGAACUCAGGGCAGCCUCCUCUCGCAGGGCCUGAUGCAGAACCCUGAGUCUGGGUACCCUGAUACAAGCUGAUGCCUGCAGAUUAGCCCGUGGAGGGGGUAGGCCUAUGACCAGAAGGCAAGCGGCUAAGGGGGAAGGGGAAGCUCUCAUCUGACCCCUCUGAACUUGGCAACCCCUGCUCCUGAGCAGCAGCCAGCUUUGCUCUUCCUCUCUUUGAAGAAAGCAGAAAAAGAAAGUGCUUUG
RNAcentral lists this long non-coding RNA (728 nucleotides) under Felis catus (domestic cat). RNAcentral's name for it is "lncRNA (ENSFCAG00000043210.2)". Lineage: Eukaryota; Metazoa; Chordata; Mammalia; Carnivora; Felidae. The record is from RNAcentral.